RNAcentral lists this ribosomal RNA (242 nucleotides) under uncultured bacterium. Its description in RNAcentral is "partial 16S ribosomal RNA". It matches the Rfam family "Bacterial small subunit ribosomal RNA", at positions 15 to 240 of the family's 1533-position model. The record is from RNAcentral.
GAUCAUGGCUCAGGAUGAACGCUGGCGGCGUGCUUAACACAUGCAAGUCGAACGGGAAACAUUUCAUUGAGGCUUCGGCGGAUUUGAUCUGUUUCUAGUGGCGGACGGGUGAGUAACGCGUGGGUAACCUGCCUUAUACUGGGGGAUAACAGCCAGAAAUGACUGCUAAUACCGCAUAAGCGCACAGAACCGCAUGGUUCGGUGUGAAAAACUCCGGUGGUAUAAGAUGGACCCACGUUGGA